CCUAGUGACCAUAAUACUAGGUGGCGACUCCUUAAACAAGAUCUUUUCCUCUAAAAGAACAAGAAGUGAGAUAUUUGUUCUUUUUCCAAGAUUAUUUUUUUAAUCAGUCGCCGCGAUGUCCGGGUAUGACAACUCUAAUGUCAAGCUUGAAUAUAUCUAUAUAUUUUCUUUUAUCUUAUUACGUGGUGAAAAGUCUAGGGUGUUCUAGGG
RNAcentral lists this long non-coding RNA (210 nucleotides) under Populus trichocarpa (black cottonwood). RNAcentral describes it as "long non-coding RNA (PTRI_LNC002739)". Lineage: Eukaryota; Viridiplantae; Streptophyta; Magnoliopsida; Malpighiales; Salicaceae. The record is from RNAcentral.